RNAcentral lists this long non-coding RNA (349 nucleotides) under Homo sapiens (human). RNAcentral's name for it is "HSALNT0003073". The record is from RNAcentral. Lineage: Eukaryota; Metazoa; Chordata; Mammalia; Primates; Hominidae.
CUUGGCAGCCACAGGCUGGGAGAGUUUUGAAAACCCUUCUAGCAGAUGCCCAGCCAUAUUUGGCCAGAGGUUUCAGUCUCUCUCUCUUUGGCCCCAACUGCAGUCCUGAUUGCCUAGGAAGAAUAUUCUUUGAAAUUUGACAUCUGCAUCUGGACAGCAUUCAGCUUGCUUGCCCUUCUGCCUUCCACCAUGUGAGGAUACAGUGUUCCUCCCCUCCGGAGGAUGCAGCAACAUAGCACCAUCUUGGAAGCAGAUGGCAGCCCUCACCAGACAACUAAACCUGCCAACACCUUGAUCUUGGACUUCUCAGCCUCCAGAACUAAAUAAAAUUUAGCUUAUGAGAAAUAAA